GAUGAAGAACGUAGCGAAAUGCGAUAAGUAAUGUGAAUUGCAGAAUCCAGUGAAUCAUCGAAUCUUUGAACGCACAUUGCGCCCGCCAGCAUUCUGGCGGGCAUGCCUGUUCGAGCGUCAUUUCAACCCUCGACCUCCCUUUGGGGAAGUCGGCGUUGGGGACCGGCAGCACACCGCCGGCCCUGAAAUGGAGUGGCGGCCCGUCCGCGGCGACCUCUGCGUAGUAAACCAACUCGCACCGGAACCCCGACGUGGCCACGCCGUAAAACACCCAACUUCUGAACGUUGACCUCGAAUCAGGUAGGACUACCCGCUGAACUUAAGCAUAUCAAUAAGCGGAGA
Molecule: unclassified non-coding RNA, 342 nt
Filed under: soil metagenome
Description: partial contains 5.8S ribosomal RNA, internal transcribed spacer 2, and large subunit ribosomal RNA
Rfam family: 5.8S ribosomal RNA (bases 1-120)
Source: RNAcentral